AUUGAACGCUGGCGGCAGGCCUAACACAUGCAAGUCGAGCGGAUGAAGGGAGCUUGCUCCUGGAUUCAGCGGCGGACGGGUGAGUAAUGCCUAGGAAUCUGCCUGGUAGUGGGGGAUAACGUCCGGAAACGGGCGCUAAUACCGCAUACGUCCUGAGGGAGAAAGUGGGGGAUCUUCGGACCUCACGCUAUCAGAUGAGCCUAGGUCGGAUUAGCUAGUUGGUGGGGUAAAGGCCUACCAAGGCGACGAUCCGUAACUGGUCUGAGAGGGUGAUCAGUCACACUGGAAUUGAGACACGGUCCAGACUCCUACGGGAGGCAGCAGUGGGGAAUAUUAGACAAUGGGCGAAAGCCUGAUCCAGCCAUGCCGCGUGUGUGAAGAAGGUCUUCGGAUUGUAAAGCACUUUAAGUUGGGAGGAAGGGCAGUAAGUUAAUACCUUGCUGUUUUGACGUUACCAACAGAAUAAGCACCGGCUAACUUCGUG
This 484-nucleotide ribosomal RNA is filed under the name uncultured bacterium. Its description in RNAcentral is "partial 16S ribosomal RNA". It matches the Rfam family "Bacterial small subunit ribosomal RNA", at positions 30 to 507 of the family's 1533-position model. The record is from RNAcentral.